Molecule: non-coding RNA, 872 nt
Organism: Pimephales promelas (fathead minnow)
Lineage: Eukaryota; Metazoa; Chordata; Actinopteri; Cypriniformes; Leuciscidae
Source: RefSeq, a predicted model, not a curated record
GCCGGGAACGGGCAGUCCGUGUAGAGAGAGUGCGUGGCAUGGCCAAUGGUCACGUGGAACUGGAUCUAAAAACACAGCAAGCGGGUACUUCUGGAUCUUUGGGCCGAACGCCGCCAAGCCGUAGUAGCCGUACAUCAGCACGUGAAUGCCAGCGUUAAUUGUAGCUCCAAAGAAAGCUGAGAAGAAGAAAGGGAAACCAAGCGUGCCAAUGAGGGUGAUGAUGGAUGCCAGGAUAACAGCAUGAGGAAACUCUGAGCGACGUCAGUGAAACUGCUGUCCUGGGAUUCUGCAUUCCCUCCUCCUCAUUACAAUUGAAAGACAUAAAGUGACUGGUGUGUAUUACAGAGAAGUGGGCGUCACUGUUUUUUCAAGGCUGUCUUUAAAUCAUCGAGUCACAACUAAAUCAUAUUCCACACCUGAGUGCCAGGUGUUCAGUUAACAGCGGGAUCACUCACAGCUGGAGCAGAUGUGCAGUGUAAGAGAGUUCACAUCAUCUCACCUGUGUCACUGACCGCUGAACAACUGGACUGGACAACACAACACACACUACAGAGCUUGCCACGUGGAGACGCAGGCCGAGGUGACUGAUCAGAUGAACUCAAUUUCCGCUCCAAGCCAAGCAGCUUUCUGUUGGUCCAAGUGACGAAUCCAUGUGAGCAACUUGAACCAUCUUUCGCCCUCACACGAAAAACCCAUUCAUCCACAAAACAUGCCAAACAAAGUAGCCUUCCAGUCUGUUCAGACUCGGUUUUACAAAACCCAGUCCAGCCCUGUUGUCACCAAAGAGCGAAUGAACCAGAUGGAUUACAUUCAGACGGCUCCAGUAAAUGGGUCCUCUGGAGAACGGCUGCAUACUUUCAUUUGCUUUUUUU